CAGAGGUCUCAAGGCGUUGUUCGGAUUCAUUGGGCGUAAAAGGGUGCGUAGGUGGCGCCGUAAGUCAGGUGUGAAAUCUCGGGGCUCAACCCCGAAACUGCACUUGAUACUGCGGUGCUCGAGUACUGGAGAGGAGAUUGGAAUUUACGGUGUAGCAGUGAAAUGCGUAGAUAUCGUAAGGAAGACCAGUGGCGAAGGCGAAUCUCUGGACAGUUACUGACACGUGAGGCACGAAGGCCACGGGGAGCAAACGGGAUUAGAUACCCCGGUAGUCCUGGCAGUAAACGGUGCGCGUUUGGUGUGGGAGGAUUCGACCCCUUCUGUGCCGGAGCUAACGCGUUAAACGCGGCCGCCUGGGGAGUACGGUCGCAAAGAUUAA
This 379-nucleotide ribosomal RNA is filed under the name uncultured organism. RNAcentral's name for it is "bacterial SSU rRNA". It matches the Rfam family "Bacterial small subunit ribosomal RNA", at positions 526 to 897 of the family's 1533-position model. The record is from RNAcentral.